CCCUCGCGACGUGCGUGUGUUUCUUCGCGUCAGGCAUGUGCAAAGUUGGACGAACAAGGCAACGUUAGUGUGAACGAGCUCUAGUGUAAAGUGAAGCGGUGAAGUCGGCCCUGUGUAUCAAGAACGAUGUCUUCAUCUUGUGUCCGUUAACGCUCGCCUGUAGCACCGUGUGAGAGUGAAAGAAGAAGUAAAAGGAAGAAUUCACAAUGACACCAAAAGGACUGCGGGUGGCCGAAGAUCAGGACCGGAAUAUGGCCUUGUGACGCUACCAGAUUUAAACGCGGAUUUAUUAAUAGACCGAAGCAAGAACCUCAUGUAGGGCGUGACACCGCGUGACGUUCAUGGAACGGCAGUCUGCCUGCCUGAAAGGUCGGCGAAGUUCAGGGGAAAGCUGAGGUGGCAUGCAGUCCAGACUACACUAUACGAAUGGAACGUGGCUAAAGCAACUCACCAGCAUUGACGAAUUGCAACGAAGGACACAGCUGAAGACAGUAGAGCAAUCUGGUGAUGCACGACUCUUGCCCCUACCUGACACGGACGGAAACGGUGAAUGAGUGAUUUCAGACCUCCAGUGACCUUGCUGCAACGAGAUGUUUUCAAGGGACAAACUUAUCAAGCCAAUUAAGAAGCAAAACAAAUGAAGGGUACAAGUUAGGCUACAAGAAGAAAUAUUGGGAAAACCUUUCAAGUGCACCAAAACACACGAAGGACGCAUGUGGACCACGUGACGAGGCGGGAGUAAGGCUAUGCCUCCCUCUGGCAAAAAAAGAGAGAAAAUCGUUAUCUCUUAGUUCUGAUGAAUUGUCAGGCGAAGAGGGUCAUUAAGAGGAAAAUCCGGCUCACUGCACCAACCUGCUGUUCGCACCCUGACAUUCCCCAAUUUCAGCUGUUUUAGUCCGUCGUCUCAUCCUGUUGUGAGUGUCACCUGACUCACAUCACCAGGGGGCAUGCAGGCGUCGUCUGAGGCUCCUCCCACAAAGAAGGCGAUGCAGUGAUCGGUCUGUCAAAAUGAUGAAUUUUACCCAAUGGGAGACGCUCGUGUUUUUAUCCGCACGACGCUUGUAGGAUUCGUAAAAUUUCGACCACAGUCUUGGAUGAUUUAGUGAACUUAUGAAUGAACUGUCUGUAGUUGGUGACAGAUUGGUUCGAUGUGGAUGUAUAUGUCAAGGUUUUCGGUGCCGUGUGCCAGAAGAUGACCGUACAAUCAGGGGACGGAGCGUUCUUUCAGAUGCUAAGCAUGUGAAGCAGACGGCCACAGUUAUGCAGAGAUAGAGUGAUAAUCACACGAGCAUGUUGAAGAUGAGUCACUGC
Long non-coding RNA from Ornithodoros turicata, 1311 nucleotides. RefSeq lists it as uncharacterized. NCBI's taxonomy places the organism in Eukaryota, Metazoa, Arthropoda, Arachnida, Ixodida, Argasidae. The transcript has 10 exons. The record is from RefSeq and is a predicted model, not a curated record.